AUAUCUUGUUUACACUAGGGCUGUGUCAUGGGUCUUGCCGGAGACAUAGUUUGGUUAACAUACGAUAAUCAGCGACCUAGUGGUGAAAAAGAAUAACACAUUUUUGUGAACCCCUGAGACCA
Molecule: small RNA, 122 nt
Filed under: Drosophila pseudoobscura pseudoobscura
Lineage: Eukaryota; Metazoa; Arthropoda; Insecta; Diptera; Drosophilidae
Description: GA32973
Source: RNAcentral